GUGACCCCAGGAUGAGCGAGGCCACCCGCUGAGUUUAAG
Molecule: ribosomal RNA, 39 nt
Filed under: Telipogon acicularis
Lineage: Eukaryota; Viridiplantae; Streptophyta; Magnoliopsida; Asparagales; Orchidaceae
Also listed under: 1 other name
Description: partial 26S ribosomal RNA
Source: RNAcentral